AGGAAAUAAAUUUUUAUUAUGGCUGCUAACUUUAAUAAGGGAGUAAAAUUUUCUUCCAUUUCCAA
Molecule: transfer RNA, 65 nt
Filed under: Achatinella mustelina
Lineage: Eukaryota; Metazoa; Mollusca; Gastropoda; Stylommatophora; Achatinellidae
Description: tRNA-Ser
Source: RNAcentral